RNAcentral lists this ribosomal RNA (465 nucleotides) under uncultured Klebsiella sp. RNAcentral describes it as "bacterial SSU rRNA". It matches the Rfam family "Bacterial small subunit ribosomal RNA", at positions 338 to 795 of the family's 1533-position model. Lineage: Bacteria; Pseudomonadati; Pseudomonadota; Gammaproteobacteria; Enterobacterales; Enterobacteriaceae. The record is from RNAcentral.
CCUACGGGAGGCUGCAGUGGGGAAUAUUGCACAAUGGGCGCAAGCCUGAUGCAGCCAUGCCGCGUGUGUGAAGAAGGCCUUCGGGUUGUAAAGCACUUUCAGCGGGGAGGAAGGCGUUAAGGUUAAUAACCUUGGCGAUUGACGUUACCCGCAGAAGAAGCACCGGCUAACUCCGUGCCAGCAGCCGCGGUAAUACGGAGGGUGCAAGCGUUAAUCGGAAUUACCGGGCGUAAAGCGCACGCAGGCGGUCUGUCAAGUCGGAUGUGAAAUCCCCGGGCUCAACCUGGGAACUGCAUUCGAAACUGGCAGGCUAGAGUCUUGUAGAGGGGGGUAGAAUUCCAGGUGUAGCGGUGAAAUGCGUAGAGAUCUGGAGGAAUACCGGUGGCGAAGGUGGCCCCCUGGACAAAGACUGACGCUCAGGUGCGAAAGCGUGGGGAGCAAACAGGAUUAGAUACCCGUGUAGUC